CCUACGGGAGGCAGCAGUGAGGAAUAUUGGUCAAUGGUCGGACGCCUGAACCAGCCAAGUCGCGUGAGGGAAUACGGCCCUACGGGUUGUAAACCUCUUUUGCCGGGGAGCAAGUUCCGCCACGUGUGCCGGACUCGAGAGUACCCGAAGAAAAAGCAUCGGCUAACUCCGUGCCAGCGGCCGCGGUAAUACGGAGGAUUCAAGCGUUAGCCGGAUUUAUUGGGUUUAAAGGGUGCGUAGGCGGUUCGUUUAGUUAGGGGUGAAAGUCCUGGGCUCAACUCCCGCACUGCCGUUGAAACUGUGGGGCUAGAGUGAAGGAGAGGAAGGCGGAAUGCAUGGUGUAGCGGUGAAAUGCAUAGAGAUCAUGCAGAACACCGAUUGCGAAGGCAGCCUGCCGGACUACGACUGACGUUGAGGCACGAAAGCGUGGGGAGCAAACAGGAUUAGAUACCCGUGUAGUC
This 461-nucleotide ribosomal RNA is filed under the name uncultured bacterium. Its description in RNAcentral is "partial 16S ribosomal RNA". It matches the Rfam family "Bacterial small subunit ribosomal RNA", at positions 338 to 795 of the family's 1533-position model. The record is from RNAcentral.